GAAAUGCUGCUGAAAGGCUAUUGUGAAAAAUUAGCAAAAGGCUUAAAUGAAAUCAAUCUAAUGAAAAAUCAAGGCUAUUAUUAAUGUCAAGAAAAAUAAAAGUAUAAAAGGAAGUGUAGUUUUUGUAAAUUCUUAAAAUGCUCAGCUAUAAGUAUUAUUUACACAGUCAUAAUAAUAUAAGCAAUUAAUUAAAUCUAAACAAAACUUUUAAGGUAACUCUAUUGUGGGAAAUGGGGAGGGAAGCAGAGAAAAUGAAAGUUUCAUGGAGCUAAAUCUUUAGGCACCAUAUUAGAAAGUCAAUAGAUAACACCUAAAAUUGAAUAAUCAAAAUAUAGGAGUAUAUGCAUAUUAUUUAGAAAUAUGGACAUGUAUGAAGAAAUAUCUCUAAAGGAGUCGAAAUUGAUGCCUUGGGGGAAAGAAAUUGGAGAAGAGUUUGACAGAAAAUCACUGUAUUUUGUUACAUAUAUUUGACUUAUAAACCAUGCAUAUAUAUUAUUUUUAAAAAAUAAGUUUUAAAAGGAAAAAAAAGAAUAUAUUUAUUGAAGGGGCUUAGAAGAGGCCUCCCCAAGGUGUGCCACUUUGGCAUGUGGAAUGUUGAGCUAAAGGCAAUCGAGAGCCUGCGGGUUCAAGAGCAACUUUUACCUCAGCCUGGAAGAAUUUAAAUUGAGGGCCUUGCCCAUAAUAAGAGUUAUUACCAGAAAUAACUUUUUAUGACCUAUCUGUAUGGUAGGGCAAACAUCUAAUUACUGAACAUCUGCUCUUCUUAUCAUUCUGUGAAUUGCCCUCCUCCCCUCUGAAGCCCUAGGCCCCUAUCCCGUGGCUCAAGAUGGCGUCUAUAUCUCAUUUUACCUUUCUGUCUCUGAACCCCUUAUGUAUGUGAAGUCUCUGACUCUCUCAUAUAUGUGGAGUUCCCAUACAUAUGAAAUUAAAUUUGAUUUUCUCCUGAUAAUUUGUCUUGUGUCAGUUUAAUACUUAGAUCAGCCAGAACCUAGAAGGGUAGAGGAAAAUUUCUUCCUACCCCACAGUUGGUGUAGUUGGUAGGAUAAGCUUCCCUGGCUAGACUCUGCUCCCUCUGAGGCCACUGCAGAGAGAUCCUGGGACAUCUGACAAGCGCCAGCAGAAGGUAAGAGUUCUUGCCUUGUCAGUCUCCCAGAUCUCUGCCUGCCGCAGGGUCUGUUGGAAGCUAGAGUGGUAAGAGUCUUUUUUUUUUCUCUUUCUAAAUUUAGAUUAGCAGGAGAAGAUAUUUGUGAAAUUAAUUUCUUGGGCAAAAGCAACUCUGGUAAAGAUUUGGGACCAGUAUUCUGAUUUUCUGUUGAUCCCAUUUCUCCCAGAAAUGGUCAUUGUUUUGUCUCUGCCAGCCGGAGGAUGCAUAUGUAUCCAGUGGGCAGCCAAGUAGGCUGUGGAUCCAAACUUAGGGAAUCAAAAAAAGGUGGGGUGAUAAACUUUUGGCUUGAUUUCCUCCUUCUGGACCCUUUGAGCACCUGCAGCUGGACUUCAUUCAACUGCCACUCAGAUACAAUUGGAAACUGCUUACAUUGCCAAGGCUUUGAUUGGAAUGCCACAUUUGAGAGAGACAUACAUAGACUCAGAUAUAACCAGACAGCUUUAAGGAACUAAGAUUGACUUUAUGGAGCCAAUAAAGACCUUUGGAAAGAACAACCUGGUACCUUGCUUACAUGGUCCCUGACAGCCUAACCAGAAAUGCCUCUUAUUAAAUUCCUGGUUGCUGGCACUAUAGGCCUAACUUUGGGAGCCCACCUGUAUCACCACCUCCUGAAAAGAGAGAAAACUGUUUAAAUGAACUGACCUAUUCUCAGAACUAAGAGACUGGCUCAACGAGAUAGAGCAUUCUACCAGCUUAACUUCUGAAAUGUGAAACUUCUCAGGAAGUCUCAAAGGGAGCCUGAGGGAUUCAGAACAGACAGAACAAGAUCUGCCACUUUGGCAUAUGGAAUAUAUUUUGAGCUACAGGCAAUGAAGACCUUGUGGGCUCAAGAGAAAACUCUUACCUCAGCCUUAAAGAAUUUAAAUUGAGGGCCUUGCCCAUAAUAAAAAUUAUUACCAGAAAUAACUUUUUAUGACCUACAUGCAUGGUAGGGCAAACAUCUAAUUACUAAACAUCUGCUUUUCUUAUUGUCCUGUGAACUCACCUCCUCCCCUUUGAAGCCCCAGGGCUCUAUCCCAUUCCUCAACUCAGGAUGGUAUAUGUGCUUCAUUUGCCUUUCUAUCUCUGAAUCUCUCAUGUAUGUGGGGGUCUCUGACUCUCUCAUGUAUGUGGGGUUCCUGUACAUAAAAAAUUAAAUUUGAUUUUAUCCUGUUAAUCUGUUUCCUGUCAACAAAAUUCUUAGACCAGCCAGAAGAACCCAGAAGGCUAGAGAAAAAUUUCUUCCUCGCCCACAUUAGUUAAAAAUGUUUCCAUAUUCACACUCAUUGAACAAAUGUGUGUGAAGAAUUUUCUGGGUGCCCAGCUCAAUGCUCUGAACUUGGGAUAAAACUGGAAUAAGAUAGGUUUCUAACCUCAAGGAGCUCACAAAGUUGGAAGACGACAGAAGGGUGGUGAGAGAAACAUGAAACAAAUAAUGUCUUAUAACAUUGCUGUAAGUGCUAGAUGAGAGUAUAAAUUGUAGUUUGGGGAAUUAAAUUGUCUUAAAAGAAAUAUAAGAGAAAAAGUUUCUUGAAAAUAAAUGUUUUUACAGUUUAAAAGAGGUUACUGUAUCAGCUCAUUAAUAAUAAUAGUAGUAAUAGCUGCUACUUUUUCUUUUUAUUGUCUCAUAUGUAUAAGACACUCUUUUACCUAUGUCCUUUGAUUUAAUCCCAGCUCUGAUGAGACAAAUCUUAACAGCCUCAUUUUACAGAUGGACUGAAUCAUAGUGGCUUUAAGAAUAGAAAAGCUUCACAUCUGUGCCGAUGGCUGACACAUGAUUCAGCCUCAAAGGGAUGAAGUGAACUACAUUAUCUUCUUGACUUACUUCAAGUAUUGUUAUUUUACAGUGUAUUUCCCUCUGUAGGUUGUAGUUACAAAAGUUGAAAAGUCACUGCCUUUAGGUUACCAGAACCUCGUAAUACUAUCGAAAUGGAGCUAUGUGCUAGAACAUGGAGAUGUCUUUGUCAUGCAAAACAUUCCGUUAAAAAUUUGAUAUUAACUAUUUAUCUAUACAGAUAUAUAUAUAGUUACCAAAGAAAGCAUUUCUUCUUUCUCUUUAAGUAAACUUCUUAAAAUUUCCAUAUGAAUGAAUUCAAAGCACAAUCAAAAUAUGCACAAUCAAAAAGAGAAGUGUUCUCUUCUUUUGUAAUUCCCAAAAUGCUAAUAUUGUUAACUGUACUCAAUAUAUUUUGAAUAAUGUAAUGUAAACUCUAGCUACUUAACUCCAUUUUCCUGCCAAUUUAGUCAUUGUGCACCUGCCAUAUUUGUCUCUCUUCAUAACCUAAAAUAAAGGAUGAAGGCUGAAUAAUAAAACAAAAUGCUUAACUCUAUUUUGUAUUCAUUCUGCCAUCCUUUUAUUGAAACACUUUGAAUAGUAUCUACAUAUGACUUCAAUAACUAUCAUAAUACUGUAUUCUCAAUUGAAAUGAAAUGAUAGAGACCAUAAAUAUUUGAUGUCCUUUCUCCCUAUUACUCUCUAUGUAUGCUUUCCAUCUUGAUGUCAGGGGACCAUUCUGAAGAGAGUAGGAUGAGAUUUCAUAUUUGCUAAGAGAUUUCUUUUGCAUAAUGCUUUAGAAAUGCUCAGGAAGUCAAGAGUUCAGCUGUUGAAAGUCUAUAAACCAUUGCAUAAAUUAUAGCAGCUUUUAAAAUCCUCACCAUAAAAGUCUCAUAAAAGGUUAUUUUCAUAUUUAAAAUUCACUGUGAAUUUAUUUUUUGACCAGAAAAUGAGAUAAGAGUUGUCUUUAAGCUACUGUAAUUCCCAGGUGUGUUUCUAAUUAAUUAAAGUCAUGUCAAA
This 3938-nucleotide long non-coding RNA is filed under the name Equus caballus (horse). RNAcentral describes it as "lncRNA (ENSECAG00000055385.1)". The record is from RNAcentral. Lineage: Eukaryota; Metazoa; Chordata; Mammalia; Perissodactyla; Equidae.